GAGUGAAGCUCAUGCAACCAUCAGAAAUAACACAAGUAACAGGUGGAACAGUAUUGGAAGAAUUCAGCCUGGAAAGAAGAUGAUGAAAUGGGAGUAAGCAGUGCUUGGAGGUGGAGUUACAGAGAGAAGGGAUGUCUUGAGUGGCAUCUGCAUCCGAAGGUGGAAGCCCAUCAGGGAUAGCCUCAAAGUGAAAAUCUGGCAAUCCGUCAAGAGAGUCAGGGCCUCUAGACCUGAGCAAGCGUCUGUGGUUAUACUCUGUAUUGACAAAAGUUAUGUGAAAACCAUUGGAGUGGAGGAUUUUUGCUAGCUUGAGCAUUGAAUUUACAGGACCUUGAGCUGGAUAUGGGACGCACACAGCAUGACAUCUCUCGUCUCUGGCAACGGCAGAAGAACCCAUCUGUUUAUAUAUGUAUUCUGUACUUAAGUCUGCGAGAACCGAAUUUGGUGAUGGAAAAGAAGCUAAAUUCUGCUUCUUAAAACACGAGAGAUUGGCUUGAACAGUUCAAUCGAUUAAAAAAAUAAAACACAGCAGAGAAUUCCUGCCCGUAUCAAGCAAUCAGAGAUCUGCAAUAGAAAACGGAUAUGGUACGCAGACAGCAUUUACUGACGCCAUCGUAAUAAUUGUACUGAACUAACUUUAUUUAUUAUUUUUAUUCUUUUAAGAUAUUUCAUUAAAAGCCCUUACUCAACGUAGGGCCCACUGCUCAUUUAUGAAUGCAUUAAACCUUUAAUGCGUGGACCGUAAGCCAAGUUAAAUCACAUCAAAGUGGUACUAAAUUAAAAAUUAAAAAUUAAAAAUAAAUUUUAUAAGUAAGUUUUUUUAAAUUAUAUAUCAUAAUAAAUAAGUAAAAUUUUUUUAUUAAAGUAUGAAUAAUUUCAAAAUUCAAUAAAAUUUGAUCAACUUAGACACUGAAAGUAAUAACUAAUUAACAAAUCAUUAUAAAAAAAUUUCUUAAAAAUGCCAUUUAAAAAUUAAUAGUGUAAAUAAUUUAUUUUAUUAAUUAAAUUAAAUUAUUAUAUUUUUUAUUUUUUUAUAAAGUAAAAAUACAUAAUUAUUGUUUUUAUUUUGUUAUAUGAUUUUAAUAUAAGAAUAUUUAUUUUUUAUUAAUCAUUAAAAAAAUUAACUUUAAGUAAUUUUCAAUUAUAUAAAAUUUUUUAGAAUUUUUUAAAUAUUAUCAUAGUUUUUCAUAAACUCCUUCAAAUGUAGGGUCCCACAUCAAUUAUUAAGAGGAAAAAUGAUGGGUAAGAGUGUCCCACAUUAAUUAUUAAGAGGAAAAAUGAUGGGUAAGAGCCGAUCAGAAAAUUGUGCAAUAGCUAAAAACGGUCGUAUGAUAAAAUUUCUCCCUCUGAAAGACUAAAUUGCUUAUUUUGAGUGAAAACUUUGACAGCUAGUAAAAGUACACAACAGCAAAUAUACAGUACAACAAGCGAGGGUGAUACUUCUUCAGCCAUUAAAAAUUCCAAAUCAUUUUCUUUGAAGAAAUCCAAGCAGUUGGACCAAAUUCCUGUGAGAAGAGCCACCUGGUGUUGUGGCCUCCUCUGCUUUGAUCUUCCAUUCCAUUGCCUGCCUUUUCAUUUCUUUACCCUUCUUUCCAUCCAUCAACUCUCUCACAAGCUUUUCCACUUCCUCUCUUUUUACAUCAUUAUCAAUCUCCAUUCCAAUACCCCAUUCAUUGCAAGCGAACCAACAAUUGGUCUGUUGCUCCGCGAAGAAUGGCCAACAAACCACUGGAACACCUCCACAUAUACUCUCCAACGUCGAAUUCCACCCCAUAUGACUUAAAAAUCCUCCUAUUGCAGGAUGCUUCAAGAUUUGCUCUUGUGGAGACCAGCUCGCUAACGUUCCUCUGUCCUUGGUUUCAGACCCAAAUUCGGGUGGCAACAUCGCAGCUUCGCCAACCACAAGGUCUGGCCUUAUUAUCCACAAAAAUGGUUUCUUGCUGUUGGCUAGCCCCCAAGCAAAUUCUAUCAUUUGUUGUGGGGUUACCACAGUGAUGCUACCAAAAUUUACAUACACAACAGAGUUUGGUUCUUUUGAAUCAAGCCAGUCAAUACACUCUGGCUGUUCUUUCCACAGAUUUGAACCAAUGUUUAUCAAUUUGCUGUCUGGGAUCUGAUCAAGAAGCAACUGAAGAGGACCAAUAGUAUAAAUAGGAGGUAACAUGGUGAAAAGAACAUCCAACACAUUUUUCUCAAAGGCCUCGAAUGUGUUCAAAAUGACAGCAGAAGCUCUUGAAGUUCUCUCUAUUUCCCUUACAAAGAAAUUGAGCAUGAUGUCAUUUCUGUCAGUAGUUCUGAUAAAGCUUGGAAGAUCCCUUAAGCGAAUAUUUCUCAUUCCUGGAAUCCAAUCUAUGGUUGUAUCCAAGUCCCCAUUUGUUAGAUAGCUCUCAUCUGCAUUUCACAGACCAAAUCAAGUGCAAGAAAGAUUCAGUAAACCUAAGAACCUAAUCUUCUGCUAACUAUAUCUAAAAAGAGGGUGAGAGUAUUAAACCUUUAAGAGGUGUUAAGCCCCUUUCAAUCAGAUGACGAUAAUGAGCAUAGGCCAAAACGCCACAGGAGCUGGGUGUCCAGAAAAGUACAUCAGGAAUUCCAAAUUCAUGAGCUGCGUCAAGAGUGAAGCUCAUACAAGCAUCAGAAAUAACACAAGUAACAGGUGGGACAGUAUUGGAAGAGUUGAGCCUGGAAAGAAGAUGGCGAAAUGGGAGUAAGCAGUGCUUGGAGGUGGAGUCACAGAGAGAUGGGAUGUCUUGGGUGGCAUUUGCAUCAGAAGGUGGAAGGCCAUCAGGGAUAGAAUCAAAGUGAAAAUCUGGCAAGCCGUCAAGAGAGUCAGGGCCUCUAGACCUGAGCAAGCGUCUGUGGUUAUACUCUGUGUUGACGAAAGUUAUGUGAAAGCCAUUGGAGUGGAGGAUUUUCGCAAGCUUGAGCAUUGGAUUUACAUGACCUUGAGCUGGAUAUGGUACGCACACAGCAUGAGGUCUCUCGUCUCUUGCAAUGGCGAAGGAACCCAUCUGUGCUUGUGCAAUUGUGUAGUAAUACUCUAUAAGAGCUGUAGUUGAUCAGGAAAAAUGAAGCUAAAUGCUGCUUCUUAUAACCAAAGAGAGGUUGGCUUCAACAGUCCAAUCAAUAAUAUAGUUAUUUUAUAGUAUUUACACUUAUUUUAUAAAUAUAAAUAAUUUAUUAAUAUAUAUAUAUAAUUUACAUUAAUAUAAAAAUUUUAUAAUUAAUAAAUACUAAAAAAAAUAAGAUGAUGGUUAAAAUAAAAUAUAAAAUCUAGUAAAAAUUUUAAAGAGAUGUUUAGUUUACCUUUUUGUGACAAUAACUAUUUUGUAUAUUUGAUAAAUACUUAUUAGCUAUUUUUUUUCAUCAACUGUCACUGGCUUUUUUCCCAUCCAUUGAUAGUUGAUAAGAUUUUAACUUUUAUUUGGACCAUUUUUCUCCUUUGUUUAAAGCUUUUUCUUAUCCAUUCAUAGUUGAUCAGCUUUUAUACACAAUCAUAUUUUUAAAUAUUAUGUGUAUUUUAUAAUAAAUUAUUAAUUAUAUAUAUAUAUAUAUACAUACAUAUUUUACUAAUUUAAAUUAUAAUUAAAAAUUAAUUAUAAAUUAUUAACUAUUAACAACAUUGUUAAUGCUAAAUAUCGAACCGAAUCAAAUCAAGUUUUCAUAGUCUCGGCUCGAGUUUUAUUUAUUAGUUUAAACUUAAUUUAUAAAAUAAAUAUUAAACUCGAACAAUAUUCGAAUUUAAUUCGUAAUAAAUUCGUUGAUUACAUUAACGAACCAACUUAAAUUCCAUUCAAAUGAAUCAACUUAAACUCCAUUCAAAAACUUGAAUUUGCGCUCAUUUAAAUUUAAAUUUUAACUCGAUUAUAUUAUAAACAAACUUAAUAUAAUUUAAAUAUAUUUAAAUUAUAAAUAAAUUUAAAUUAAAAAUAAAAUUAAAAUUAUAAAAUCAUUAAAAAGUUUAAAAUUAAAUUUUUUUAUUUAAUUAAAAUCUUUCAAAUUCAAAACUAAUAAAAAAAAGUAAAAAGAUUAUACUUUUAUAAAAAAUUCACGGUCCAUAUACUUUUUAACUUUUAACGUGGAAUUGGUGUUAGCGAACGAGUCUGAUCACGAGUUUGUUCGUAAGCAUAUUCACGAGUCAACUCGCAAAUUUGUUUAUAACGAACCAAGCUCGCGAGAUUAAAGGAGUCGAAUACUGCUAAACUAAAAAUCGGCACGUUUAUUAAACGAAUCUAAAAAGUGAGUUUGAGUUCGACUCGUUUAGAAAACGAAACGAAUCCGAUCAAAUUUUUAUCUAAUCGAGUCUCGAAUACCUAUUGAUUACUAUUUUUAAAAAAUUACCAAACAUUUAAAUUAAAUAUUUGGGAGUUACAUCAAUUAUCAGUUAGAAAAAAUGGUAAAUCAAAAUCCUCUUAGUACCAAUUCCAUUAAGUAUAACAAAAUCACGACUAUCAGGUAUUUAUCUUGUGACCUUUUAGGAACAAACCUUUCUUUUUGUUUUUACUUAACUAAAAUUAAAAUUUUAGAAAGUUAAUGAAAAAAAAUUAAUUGGAUUAAAUUACUGUAAAAUUCUAAUUGAUUCUAAACGAAAUUUUGAUAAAAUUGGUUUAAUUCUUUGACAUUUUAGUUCUGAUUUUAUUUUGUUAUUAGUUUUUUAAUUUUGGUUUUGUGAGGUUUUUAUUUAGAUUUUGAUUCUUGAAAUUUUUUUAUACACUUGCUUUUAUGAAACAUUAUACUUAAGUUACUAUUUAAGUUUUAAAUUGUAUUAAUUAAAAUAUAUUAUAUAAUAUUUCUUGUAAUAUAUUUCUAACUAAAAUUAUCAAGGAAAAAAAAGAUAAAAUCGAUAUUUGUAUUGAUAUUAUUACUAUUUUAGUCAUAUAUAAACACGUCAUACAUUAAAAAUAUACUAAUCUAUCUAAAAAUUAAUUAUAUAUAUAUAUAUAUAUAUAUAUAUAUAUAUAUAAUUUUACUUUUUUUAUCAUGAAAAUUAAAAUUGUAUUUCUAAAGCACAAAUAAAAUAAAAUUAUAAAGAGACGCAUAAUAGACUAGAAGGCUAAACCAGCCUAAAAUUAAAAAAUAAACCAAUUAAAUAACAGAAAUCCAACCAAAACCUAACCAAAUAAAUCAAAUUAGUAAUCGAACAAAAUAAUCGAACAGAAGACUGUCGCAUACCAUCCCACACUGCUAUACCGUCUGAGCAUCAUCCAUGACUGCAACAACAGCCAAAGAGAUAAAAAGCGUGAUAGGCAACAAAACCAUAUCAACAUCCCCAAUUAACAAGGGCGGCUAAACAACAAAGAGAUAAAAAGAAUAAAGAAACUAUAAUACACACAUGGAAAAAACAGAAAUAGAGAAGAGAGGCUACUGGUAAUAGAGAAGAGAGGCCACUGGUAAGUGUAGUCCACCGACAAAAGUAGAUCCGAGGAAGGAGCCACCAUAGAGCCCAGCUAAAGAAGGCCGAUGGAAGCGGUAGCCAUCAGACGUAUCGAUGCUGUCUCGGGAUACGAUAUUACACCCAAAGGUAACCUCCCCACGGAAAGUCAAUAUCGAAGCCCUCAAGGUCCUUGCACCAGAAUCUUCCUUGUCAACAGAACCACCAAAGACUGGAGAAACGGAUAGCAAAUUAAAGCAAAAACAAAAGUCAAUCUGGUCAUCCACGGCAAAGAAAAUUCGAGAAGGACGACGGCUCUAAAAAGAAACCCUCAUUCCCUCGUUUUAAAGCAAGGAGAAGGAAAAAUACCACAUCUGGAAAAACACGAAUAAAAUGAAGUCAAUCAAGAGUGAAAAUAAUAAGAAUCAGACCCUAAAACACAAAAAAUUCCUUAUCCUUUACUCUUCUCACUUUACUUUGAUUACAAUCUAAUAAGAUUCUAUAAUAGGGUUUACAGUGUAUGAGUGAGCUUAGCCAGGGAAAAUCUUGUCUCUCCCCCUUUAUCCCUUUUCUUUUUGUCUUCUAGUGAUGCAUAACCGCCAUUCUGCUACAGUGUCACCUGUCCCUGUUACUCAGGUUCGUACGUACGGAUGUGCCAGUGUACCCCUCUCUAUUAGGCGGCCAUUUAAUUCCCCCCGACGUGCAUGCUGAUAGAGCUGCGAGGUGACUGGGCCUGCUGACUAUGCGGUUGUCGAGACCGGUCAAAAAUAACCUUUUUGGUUAUCCACAAUUUUACAACUGUAUAUAGUGAUAAAAGGAUUGAAUCCAUAUGGAAUUCAUACUUACCUAUGUUGUUGGGAAGUCCAUAAAUUAUUGCAACCCAAAGGCGCAGCGGAAAAAUAAAAUUUCUCUGAUUUCCUUUUCCCAGAAUCCGAGUGCUUCGUUUAUUUCAUAAGAAGGAUAUGAAACUAACCUGUUAAUCUCAUCAAGAAUAUACAAUGCCGAACUGAUGGUGCUGCUUUUCCAAACGAACACCCUCUAUAGUAUCCACACAAACGUCUUCUAUCUUUCUAGAGUGCUAGCUCUCUCAAAGAUGGAUAGAUUAUAUGCUCUACAAUCUGCAAUAGUUAUACUAAAUUUUUCUCCAAAAAUUAACAUUAUCCUUCCACAAUUCAUAGAAGGAGUAUUUAUAUGUUUCAGUCUUUUAUUUUUCCCACAAUUUCUUUUCCUAAAAGGAGUUGUGUUCAUAACCCACUAUCACAAUCUCACAGAUACUCAAAUAUCUUAUAUGAUAGAGUUCUUUAUUUGUAACAGUUACAGAUAAAUUGCAGAUCUUUUAAAUAUUAUUAUCUCAUAAUAAUAAAUAAUUAAUAAUAAUAACACUUUAUUAUUAUUAAUUAUAUUAAUGAUUAAUAAUAAUAACACUUUAUUAUUAUUAAUUAUAUUAAUGGGCUUUAGACUUUUAGCUCAUUAAUAUGUCAUAACACAUCAACAACAUGUAUGACCCAAUAGGCUCACAUUAAUUGGCAAUAGGCCCAGUCCCAGUCCCACAAGACUCAUAAAUCAUAAGUGGCCUCUACCAAGACAUUAUGACUACCCAAUUAAUAUGAGGAUCAAUAGUCCGAUAAAGCCUAAUAAAUAGAACAUGUAUUAAUCCCUUUGUCACACGAUAUGUAGUUUGAACAUAAGUCAUGGUCAAUGUCAAACUUAUAAUGUUCAAACUUAUGAUUUCUCGAUCUCUAAGUAGACUGAUAAAUUCAAAAGAUAUUGAUCACACUAUCAAUUCAUUUGAGCACGGCUAUACAUUUCUCAGUCUCACUUAUCGAGGGACCCAGAAGAUAGCUCUUUCAGAGAGAGGGACAAAUCCUAUCUUGAUUGUUCAUUAUCCUCUACAUAAUUUCUAUUAUGCUCAAUCAUAACCUUUAUGAUUGUCCGAUUAAAGACAACGUUUGGUUAUGUCAAAACAUAACAGUCCUUAUAUUAGAAACUAUGACAAUCUCAAGUCAAAGGAUUAAGACAUAACUAUUUUGAGAUUCACUUAUGACAAUAACCCAUGUAGUGAUCUCAGUGCGAGUCCAUCAAAUACUUUGUUCUCUAAUAAGUAUUUAUGAUUGUUAAUUAUAUCAACAUAUACAUAAUCAUCUCAUGAUUAUCAAUCAAUAAUCAUACUAGCUAUAUUUUAUUAUUAUCAACAUAAUAAUAAGUAAUCAGGGAUGAUAAUCAUUAUUAUGUAAUAUGCAAACAAAUAAUAAUGAUAAAAACUUCUUUUAUUAAUAACCAAAACGACAUACAAAAAGGUCUAAGAUAAUGGCCUAGGGCAAAUACACUAACAAUAUAUGCUUCUAUCAAAAACCAAGUAAAUAAACUGGAAAAAAAAAAUAAAAAGGGGGUUUUGAAGUUGAUGAACUAAACUAGAAUUAAAAGUAGUAAAGCAAAACAAAUAAUAGAGUAGGAGAAUUCAAUAAUAAGAAAAGUCUAGUUGAAGCUUUGGAUCCACUUCAGUUGUUGGUAUUGAUCAUUGACACUUAUGUUUUUUUAUUUGACUCAAUAAAUUAGUUAUGGGGUGGAAGACGCUUUUCACCAUCAUAUCUCUCCUUAAGCAUAUAUUAAUUACGAAAUGUUCUCUAAUUAAUCACUAAUCAAUAAGUUGCCAAGGAACGUCAUUGGGGCUUUAGAUUCAUACAACUGUCAAUUGCAUUAAGAAAUAAAGAGACCUAAUUCUAGCUAUCCAAACGUAUGGUGAUCUUGCUAGAUUAUGCAAUCUCCUUGGUGUUUACACCAAGAGUUACUUGUGUUUGAAUAAUUCAAGCAAUUAUGGAACUAAAUUACCCAAACUAACAAAUUAUCACUUUGCAAUCAAGAAUCAAUGGGCCAUAUUGAUCUAAACAACAAAGUAACAAUAGAAUUAAGCAUGAAAUUGCAUAAAUAUUGAUAAAUAAAAUAUGAACAUCAUAGGUUCAGAUCUCCCAAUUCAUUAACAAACUGAAGUUUCACUUAAUCUUCAACUAGAAAAAGAGGUUUUAGCCAAUAAUGGCUGAAACUAACAUUAAAAUCAAAGAAAGAAAGCAAGAAUAAGAAAUUGGGCCGGCUGGGCGGCUACUAGAGGCACGCGAUUGCUGGAGGUGAUGAUCUCUGAAAAAGAUCUCCCCCCUUUGGUUGCUGGAUGGCUCUCUAUUUAUAUCUGAAUGUGAAACCCUAGGUUAUCCCUUGAUUAGAUGGAGUUAUUUUCCAAUUUGGAUUUGAAUUCCUUUUGGCAAUUGAGUUUCCUUGCAAUUUGGACUCCUUGAUGGGCGGAAUUUUGUUGGUGAGGUGUCCUGAAGUGUUUGGAAUAGGACGGACUUCUGAAAGUUUGGAUUUCUGGUUUCCCGCUUUUCUGUUAUUUUCUGCUGCAAAAUCUGUUUGCGCUACUAUUUGGACAAACAGCCAGUCAACACAGUCAAUUAUGUGUUGUCUGUCAUUCUACCUCUGUUCUGCGAGAUUUGUUUGCCUAGUUGUUUGGGCAAACAGCAGGUCAAACAGCAAGUCUGCACUACUCUUCAUCCUUCUCCCGUUUCUGCUGCAACUUGGUUUGGGCAGUUGUUUGGGCAAACUAAGCUUAGCACACCAAACUUGAUCUAUUGGAUUUCUCUUCCAUUCUCUUUGGGUAGUUUUUAGGUCAUUUUUCAUCAAAUCACCUUUUUACACAAUUUUCUGCAAAAAUAUAUUAAAACCAUAAAAUUAGAUAGAAAAUUUGUAAUUUAACAUCAAUAAUAUGAAAAAUGGGCCUAAUUUUGGUUUGAUUACCUGCUCUCUUACCUUCCGUCAUAUCACUGGACUAAGCCAUCCCUUAGUGAACCUGCGUGCGGGUCAGUCUGGCCCGCUUUGGUUACGGGCUGGAGUACAUCAUAUUGGACCGGCCUGCUCUAAGAGAUUCUGAUGGGCUUGGACCUGUAUCUUUCCCUAGGACUCGACUCCUCCCUUGGGUGUAAGAAGCUAGCGAUCAUAAAGAUAAAAUUUAUUUAUUUAAUUUUCAAAUAAAAUUAUAGUUUUCUUAAUAUAAUUUUAAGAUAAAAAUAUAGUUUUUAAAUUAAAUUUUAAUUUCUGAUUUAAAUUUUAAAUUGAACUGCCAUCGCCUCCGGCUGAGCCGUUCAAUAGAUCCAUGGGUUAGAUAGGUCACCACACAAGAUCCUUCCUAAACUCCUUCAAAAACAAAGGAGAUACACUGCGAAGAAACGUUAUAGCUACCACUUCAAAUGUAGUGUCCCACAUCAAUUAUUAAGAGGAAAAUUGAUGGGUAAGAGCCGAUCAGAAAAUUGUGCAAUAGCUAAAAACGAUCGUAUGAUAAAAUUUCUCCCUCUGAAAGACUAAAUUGCUUAUUUUGAGUGAAAACUUUGACAGCUAGUAAAAGUACACAACAGCAAAUAUACAACACAACAAGCGAGGGUGAUACUUCUUCAGCCAUUAGAAAUUCCAAAUCAUUUUCUUUGAAGAAAUCUAAGCAGUUCGACCAAAUUCCUGUGAGAAGAGCCACCUGGUGUUGUGGACUCCUCUGCUUUGAUCUUCCAUUCCAUUGCCUGCCUUUUCAUUUCUUUACCCUUCUUUCCAUCCAUCAACUCUCUCACAAGCUUUUCCACUUCUUCUCUUUUUACAUCAUUAUCAAUCUCCAUUCCAAUACCCCAUUCAUUGCAAGCGAACCAACAAUUGGUCUGUUGCUCCGCGAAGAAUGGCCAACAAACCACUGGAACACCUCCACAUAUACUCUCCAACGUCGAAUUCCACCCCAUAUGACUUAAAAAUCCUCCUACUGCAGGAUGCUUCAAGAUUUGCUCUUGUGGAGACCAGCUCGCUAACUUUCCUCUGUCCUUGGUUUCAGACACAAAUUCGGGUGGCAACAUCGCAGCUUCGCCAACCACAAGAUCUGGCCUUAUUAUCCACAAAAAUGGUUUCUUGCUGUUGGCUAGCCCCCAUGCAAAUUCUACCAUUUGUUGUGGGGUUACCACAGUGAUGCUACCAAAAUUUACAUACACAACAGAGUUUGGUUCUUUUGAAUCAAGCCAGUCAAUACACUCUGGCUGUUCUUUCCACAGAUUUGAACCAAUGUUUCUCAAUUUGCUGUCUGGGAUCUGAUCAAGAAGCAACUGAAGAGGACCAAUAGUAUAAAUAGGAGGUAACAUGGUGAAAAGAACAUCCAACACAUGUUUCUCAAAGGCCUCGAAUGUGUUCAAAAUGAUAGCGGAAGCUCUUGAAGUUCUAUCUACUUCCCUUGCAAUGAAAUUGAUCAUUAUGUCAUUUCUUUCAGUAGUUCUGAAAAAGCUUGGAAGAUCCCUUAAGCGAAUAUUUUUCAUUCCUGGAAUCCAGUCUAUGGUUGUAUCCAAGUACCCAUUUGUUAGAUAGCUCUCAUCUGCAUUUCACAGAACAAAUCAAGUGCAAGAAAGAUUCAGUAAACCUACGUACAGAACCUACUCUUCUGCUAACUAUAUCUAAAAAGAGGGUGAGAGUAUUAAACCUUUAAGAGGUGUUAAGCCCCUUUCAAUCAGAUGACGAUAAUGAGCAUAGGCCAAAACGCCACAGGAGCUGGGUGUCCAGAAAAGUACAUCAGGAAUUCCAAAUUCAUGAGCUGCGUCAAGAGUGAAGCUCAUACAAGCAUCAGAAAUAACACAAGUAACAGGUGGGACAGUAUUGGAAGAGUUGAGCCUGGAAAGAAGAUGGCGAAAUGGGAGUAAGCAGUGCUUGGAGGUGGAGUCACAGAGAGAAGGGAUGUCUUGGGUGGCAUUUGCAUCAGAAGGUGGAAGGCCAUCAGGGAUAGAAUCAAAGUGAAAAUCUGGCAAUCCGUCAAGAGAGUCAGGGCCUCUAGACCUGAGCAAGCGUCUGUGGUUAUACUCUGA
Molecule: long non-coding RNA, 11232 nt
Filed under: Manihot esculenta (cassava)
Lineage: Eukaryota; Viridiplantae; Streptophyta; Magnoliopsida; Malpighiales; Euphorbiaceae
Description: long non-coding RNA (MESC_LNC003801)
Source: RNAcentral